AUUUAUUGCCGAUGCAAACUUUGUUAUAAGAGGUGGCUGCUUGAGCACUACGAGCGUGUGCUUAAAACUCAAAGAAUUUGGCGGCUCGUUAACUACCUAGGGGAAUAUGUGCCUUAAUCCGAUGAUACCCGUUACAUCUUACUGUACCUUGAAAGAGAACAGUUGGUGUAUUGCCGUUGUCAGCUUGUUGUUGAGCAGAAUGUAACAGGCUUAUUGGAACUACCAAAUGAUUGGUAUAAUCCGAGAAUUCAGGUCGAAAUGCUGCCUAUGGUACAAGGGAGCAGGUGUUACAGUUUUGAACUUAAAAAACGGAUCUUAUUUUUUUGGAAUCAUUAAGUGAAGGGGGACUUAGGAGUAAGGGGGGAUUAAUAUGCCCCCCUGAAC
Molecule: ribosomal RNA, 384 nt
Filed under: Semipallium dianae
Lineage: Eukaryota; Metazoa; Mollusca; Bivalvia; Pectinida; Pectinidae
Description: partial 12S ribosomal RNA
Rfam family: Bacterial small subunit ribosomal RNA (bases 42-384)
Source: RNAcentral